Molecule: long non-coding RNA, 329 nt
Filed under: Carica papaya (papaya)
Lineage: Eukaryota; Viridiplantae; Streptophyta; Magnoliopsida; Brassicales; Caricaceae
Description: long non-coding RNA (CPAP_LNC001639)
Source: RNAcentral
CUUCCUUCUUAAGUUGCUACAAGUGUUCUACCUCACUGAUCAGCAUAAAGGCUACUAGGGGAACUUUCUGUUCCUCAAUUAGGUCUAGGAUAGAUAAAAGCUUCUCUAUCUACAUGAUCUAGGCUUCGGCUACUAAAGGGUCAGAGCCACCUUCAAAGUGUGGCAGGUUAAGUUUCCUAAACUCCGCUAUGUUGUGAGAGAUGAACCUCUCAACUGUUCAGUACUCCGGGGCAAGGCUUAACAGGGGUCAACUUGGUUUUAUCCUAUGGCUAUGGUCAAUUCGAGGUGAUAGUGUGCCCCACCAGGCUGGUCACACGUUGCAGGCCUAG